UGUUUAUAAAAUGUCAUACAUGUUUAUUUGACUUAAUAAAUUGAAUUUUUGAUGCUGUUAAAAUUCUUGCAAAAUGUCCGGAUCGUGUCAGAAACCAAAAUUUGGGGUCUUGAAAAAGGCUCUAGCAGCAACAGCUGUAAUAAUAGGAGGAAUUGCUUUGUAUUGCUACUUCAGUGAACCAGGAACGUGCGGCCCUUGUGAGCGACCAAAAAAAUAAAUGUCUAAAUUAUGAAAAUAA
Molecule: long non-coding RNA, 238 nt
Organism: Diorhabda carinulata
Lineage: Eukaryota; Metazoa; Arthropoda; Insecta; Coleoptera; Chrysomelidae
Exons: 2
Source: RefSeq, a predicted model, not a curated record